This 253-nucleotide ribosomal RNA is filed under the name uncultured bacterium. RNAcentral's name for it is "partial 16S ribosomal RNA". It matches the Rfam family "Bacterial small subunit ribosomal RNA", at positions 524 to 776 of the family's 1533-position model. The record is from RNAcentral.
UACGUAGGCAGCGAGCGUUGUUCGGAAUUACUGGGCGUAAAGAGUGUGUAGGCGGUGCUCUAAGUUCGGUGUGAAAUCUCCUGGCUUAACUGGGAGGGUGCGCCGGAAACUGGAGUGCUUGAGCGUGGGAGAGGAAAGCGGAAUUCCUGGUGUAGCGGUGAAAUGCGUAGAUAUCAGGAGGAACACCUGUGGUGUAGACGGCUUUCUGGACCAUAGCUGACGCUGAGACCCGAAAGCGUGGGUAGCAAACAGG